This is a non-coding RNA of Delphinapterus leucas (beluga whale), 3911 nucleotides long. The record is from RefSeq and is a predicted model, not a curated record. Lineage: Eukaryota; Metazoa; Chordata; Mammalia; Artiodactyla; Monodontidae.
CCUUCUUCUCCAUUGUCAACAUUAGUCUACUUACUCACUCACUCAGUCUCUGGCUGGCUGCUGGGGUCCUCAGGUGGGUAAGUUGGGUUCCCCCGUUGGAGGAGCUUAGACACUCAGGGAGCCUGCGUUCUCAGGAAUGGUCCUUUUGCACCGUCGCAAAGCAUCCUCCCGACUAGGAAGGGGGACUGCAGCUCCUCCAGGAUGCCCGCUGACACCAGGGAUUCCUGCCAGGACCUGCCAACAAGAGCCCUUUCAGCUUUCCAGGGUCUCUCAGUAGGCUCUGUGACAGAGCCAGUGAAGUCCUGGCCCGCGGAGAGGGAGUGGGGAAGGCGAGAGCGCGCCUGGCUGGGUCCCGGAGCCGGGCUGUGGGCGCCGCCUGCUGGAGAACUGGAGCGCCUGCGGAUCUUCUUUUACAAAUGGGGCCCAGUAAACGCUAGGUUUGAAGUAACGCCAAGCUGUGCGUGUUUACCACCUGCACCUGAUUAACUGGCAGCCAGGUGAGCGCUGAGUAAAGGAGCCAGAAUUCCGCGUCACUGGGAGCCUCUGCCCGUCUGUCCAGCCGCCUUCCCCACCACCUCACACGGCACAGGGACCACAGGGACGGCGCCGCGUUCCCUUUCCUUACCAGGUCCUGCGAGGUGCUGCUUGAAUUUGCCUCACCACGGCAGGCCGUCGCGGAAAUAUGUGCGUGGGAGUUACGUCCUCGAACAAUGGAGUGUCUCAAUCAGUAGGGAACAACGGAACCAAGAGCCCAGGAAGGAGGGAUGGGAGCUGGAGCUGAAAACGACUUUCAGCAUGAGGUCACUGCCUGUUUUUAGGGCUGAGGAAGAAGAUGUAAAGGAGGGGGUAAUGAAUUCCACAAAUUUAUUAGCUGCUGUGUGAACUAAUACUCCCAUUAAGCACACUGGGAAACCAGCGCUUCCAGCCAGGGAAGUUUGUCCUAGAGAUGGAGUUUUUCAUGAGCUGAAGGAGAAGCGUCAGUGCAGUAGAGGUCAAGGACAUGGAGUCUAGGCUCUGUUCAAAGAGUUUAAUCAUGGCUUCUGGACCUGCUCUAUCUCUACUAAGGUAUGACUGCACACCAGAAGCUACUUUUCAAAUGGUGAGUAGUUCUCUGAUGCAGUAGUCUUGUCUGUGCUCCAGACUGCUAGCGCUGUGUACUGUACCCCUCCUAUUUGGGCUUGCUAAGGAUUUUACACAUCUGUGAUAACUGCUGUGCAUACCAUCAGCAAGAGUGGAGCUUCUGGGCCAUACAACCUGAGUGGUAAGGAAACUUGCGCCACAGCAAAACUGUCAGUCUCCUAAGUCACCUGGUACAUGGGUUAGGUGUGAUGUAUACUAAUAUUUUUAAGUGUAACAUAUGCUACCUCCAAAAUCCAAAGAAGUAAUCAAACAUAUAGGAGAUUAGUAAUGAAACAAUGUGUCUUUUACUUUAGAGGGGGUGUAAUGACAUGCCCCAGGCCACUACAUUCCUUAAAAUCUCACAGAUGUGGCAGGCUCCUGUAUCUUCAUAGGAUUUUUCUUGUAUCUUCUAGCAUAAUGUGUCUUUCCAGAGCAUCCAUAGUAUUUGCCACAUUAGUGUCAAUAGUAUGAUGUCAUCAAUAUGCAGGAACACUAAUAUGUUCUUUGUAAUGUCAAGGUGAUCAAGGUUCCUGUGGAUUAUAUUUUGACAGAGAAUGAGUGAAUUAGCUUGGCCCUUGGCAGGAUUGUUAAAGUAUAAUUCUGUCCCUGUCUCCCAUUAGAUCUCUUUAUCCUUUCUCGAUGGAGAUAGAGAAGAAUACAUUCCCUAGAUAAAUAGCUGCAGAACCAGCGCCUGAAGCCAUUUCGUUUUGCUCCAAAAGAGAUGCCACAUCUGGGAACAGCAUCUGCCCUUGAGGCGCCCACCUUUAAGCUUAUGGUAGUCUACUGUCCUCUGCCACACUUCAUCUGGUUUUCUCAGGUGUCAAAGUGCUGAAGGGGGAAGUGAUGGAGAGUACCACCCUUGUUUUCUUGAAGCCUUGGAGGGUUGUGCUAAUCUCUGAAAUUCCUCUUGGGAUACAGUAUUGCUUGUGACUUGCUAUUUCAGCCAACACUGAGGCAGUUUCAGAGGCUUCCACUUGAACUUUCCUACCAUAAUGGCUCUUAUUCUACAAGUUAGACAACAAAUGUGAGGCUGCUUCUAGGAGUUAAAUAUAUCUCUCCAGUUAUACACUUGGGAACUAAGAAAUGAGCAGGUCUGCAGUUGUAUUGGACUCACUCUAGAAUGAUAUACUACUCCAUUUAUCACCUGACCUCCACAGGCAUUCACCGUAACCAGAGAAUUAUUAUGGAAUUUUGGCUUUCCUACUGUUAGUGGCAGCUCAGAUCCUGUACCUCAAAAUCCUCAAAAAUUUUGGAUAUUCUGGACAUUCCUUUCCCUGGUGUACAGUUAGCCUGGAAAAUGGCUUCACAUCUUUUUUGGGGAAGAACUGGGGAAGUAUUCAUUGUAUAAACCUGUGGUGAGUUACAUGUUUCUCAGUAGGAUCUGUAGUCCUCUUUAAUCAGUGGUUUCUGAAUCUAAGAACAAAAGAAGAACAAGAAAAUUAAAAUGUCGUGGAAACCAAGGAACUAGAAAAUUUCAAGGGGACUACUAUAUAUUUACCUAAACCAAUGUCCUUCACUUCCGGGAAACAUAACUAAAUGACUUCUCUGGCAGUUAUCUGAGGCCACGUGACUGAGUUCUGACCAGUAGAAUGCAGGCAGUGUAAUGUACACAACUUGAAAGUGGGAUGAUCGUUCCAUAGAAAUCUCCCACUCAUCACAGGGAGCAGAACAGAAGGAUAUGGGGCACCAAAGACACAUUUUGCCUGAUUCCUGGUUUCCCCUUUGUCUUCUCUCAGGUAUCUAGUAAUUCAUACUAUUUGGAUGAAAGAGGAUUGGAGCUGGAGUUAGGAGUCCUGGGUCUGCUUCCUGGUUCCAUCAUCUAUCAGCUCAGAUCAAUGCUGGUCCUGAAGAUUAGUUUGGGGCCUUGAUGUCGCAGGGGGAUUGCAGCAAUGCAACAUGCUAGGAUGUGCUUAAUCUGUGUAAGAGUGCACAGCAGGCCCUGUAUACUUAAAUCCUCCAGAGAACGUGAUUGAAUAUUCAAAUGAUAACCAUCGCAGAUGUUCCCUUCUGAGAGAUGACCUUGGCUAAUGUCUGCAGCAAGUAUAUACAAAGGCCAGCCCUCUUCCCUCAAGGUGCAAUUCUGUGCUGCAAUUCAGCCCCUAGGGCUUCCCCAGGGAUCAGACUGAAGCUGGUUUCCAGCUGAGAGCACAGUCCCUCUUCCUGUUGUUGCCCUGCCCUGCCCUGCUUCCCUCACAAUCCUACUCCUCAAAGUACUCCCCCAGUAAAUCCCUUGAACCAGAAUUCCUCUCUCAGACCCUGCUUCUAUGGAACUUGACUGAGGCAGUACUAUUUUAAUGUCAGAAAGUGUGCUUAGCCAAGUUUUUAAUAGAAAUAAACGCGAAGCACCAAAGACCACAGUGACUUUUAUAUUUUCUAUAGAAAAAUAUGAUCAUUAAAAUUGUCAGCAAUAAAAUUAAAUUACAAAUUAUGGUCUGAGAAGCAGACUAAAGCAGUUUGCCACAUCAUAUUCUUCUUAGUCACAAGCACUGGAUUUGCUUGUGCAUAUGGUAGAUACACACAAGGUUUGAGGUCUUUGUCAUCUGUGAAGAAGCUGCUCUGGACAAGUGUCUGUGAUUAGGCAGGGGGCCUUUCUAACUAGCGGCUACAUUCAGAUCAUUCAAAACUUUCUCUGUGGAACGAAUUUAUGGUUACCAGCGGGGAAGGAUGGAGGGAAUGGAUAGUUAGGGAGUACGGGAUUGACAUGAACACACGGCUCUAUUUAAAGUAGAUAACCAACAAGGACCUACUGUAUAGCACAGGGAAAUCUGCUCAAUAUUAUGUAACAACCUAAA